ACUAUUUCAUCAAACACAUGUAUUGAGUCACUUGUUGUAUAAUAAUAGCAAUCACUUUAACAAUUAAAGCACCAAAUAUAACUAUCAAUAGUGUUACAUGGAAUUUUCUUAUGUUACAAACUUAUAAAAUAUGCAUACAAGUUGAGUAAGUACUUUGUGGUACGUACAACAUGGAACAAAAUCAUCAUCAAAUUUCUACUUUUCCAACGAAUGCAAUCGUAUCAGAAGACGAGUUAGGAGGGUUUGGACAUGUUUGAUUCAUCUUGUCAAGCUUCUUAGCAAUGCCCAAAACUGCAGAACCUCUAGGUGAGGUGAUUUGGUUCAAUCUGUAGGUUAUUUGAAAAUAUAUGCACAUGAUGCUUGUCUUGAGGUGCUUUGCUUCAACCUGCAAGGAUCUAUACUAGCUGAGAGUGUUUUCGUGUGAACCUUUUAUCAUGGAACCAAACAUUUGAAGUGGAAUAAAUCAAAGAUGAUAUACACAAAGUUUAAGCACUAUAUAAAAUCAUUAACAGUAAAAAAACAAACCUUUAAAAAAGCAUGUAAAACCUUUAAAAUACGUUGUAAAAUCCAGAACUGGAAUAAAUCAGAGAUGAUAAACACAAAGUUAAAGCAAUAAAAUCAUUAACAGUAAAAAACAAACCUUUGAAAAGCAUGUAAAAUACGUUGUAAAAUCCAGAAGUGAAAAUAAUCUGAGAUGAUAUACAGAUUUUGCUUGAAUAAAGCUUCUAAAAAACAGAGAUCUGUUACCUGAAAUUGACAGAGCCGGACACAGAGAGAGAGAGAUACAGAUCUCGCUUAAAAAAUCGAAUCUAGCAGAUUUCGCUUAGAACGAUAGAAAAUCGUUACAGGUUGAAAAUCAAACACAUCACAAGGGAGAGAACAGAUCUAAGAAUAGAGAAACAGAUUUAGGAAUAGAUCGUUGCGCGAUUAUGUUGAUCGAUUGGAACUAAUCUAGAUCUAGGAAUAGAGAGAGAGAGAGAGAGAGAGAGAGAGAGAGAGAGAGAGAGAGAGAGAGAGAGAGAGAGAGAGAGAGAGAGAUAGCCGCUCGAUGGAAGAGAAAGAGAGAGGAAGA
Molecule: long non-coding RNA, 1072 nt
Filed under: Arabidopsis lyrata
Lineage: Eukaryota; Viridiplantae; Streptophyta; Magnoliopsida; Brassicales; Brassicaceae
Description: long non-coding RNA (ALYR_LNC001881)
Source: RNAcentral